GGUAGGGUACCACCUGGCCAAGCUGGGAAACCGGGAAGGUGGUCCCUUGGGCAGGAUGGGGGUUGAGAAUCACCCGGCAUUUAAAGGCCACAUGUGAUGACCAGGUCAGGCAGUGUCUUGGAGACCGUGCCCUGGGUCAUACUGAGGGGCGGACUCUAAGUAGAUGUCGGCGCUUCUGGAACACUGGGCAGCCAGAGGGAGCCUUUACAAGUGCAGGUCCUCUCUUGGCUCUGUCAGUGAAAUCCAAAAUUCCAUCAGGACCCUGCCUGCCUCUCGAGCCCUAGGCUGGGAAUCGUAUUAGUUCCCUAGGGCUAUGUAACAAAGUACCAGAAACUGAGUGGCUUCACACGACAGAAAUUUAUUGGCUAAAAAAGUCCCAAAUCAAGGUUAGGUGGUAGGACGGUUGGUUCUUCCUGGAGGCUCUGAGGGAGACUGUUCCACGCCUCAGUCCUCCCUUCACUGCGAGCAACCCCACGUGUCCCCAGGCCUGUGGACACAUCACUCCUGCGUCUGUCCUCACCCGGCGUUCUCAUGUGUCUCUAGUUCUGUGUCUCUUUGUAUAAGGACAAUCGUCAUGUUAGAUAAAGGACUCACCCGGAUCCUGUACGACUUCAUCCUACUUAACUAUCUGCAAGGACCCUACUGCCAAGGAGUGCCACAUCCCAGGGUGUUCUGGAGAUGUCACUGCCUCGGGGAAGCUCUCUCCAGCUGCACAGACGAGGGUCGCCCUGUUCUUUUUUUCGGGCUCCCGGCACUCAUCACGAGGACAUCUGAGGAAGUGCAUGAGUCACAGCGUGUCGCUCUCCCAUGGGCCUGCUCCUCCGGAAAGUCGCCCCCGUGACAGCAGGAGCCAGGCCGCCUGGGUGAACACGAACAAACCGAAACGCGUGGCCAUAGGCGCUUACAGACUGAGCUGGGGAGUCUGUCUCAAUCGGACAGACCCUGUGUUGGGCCCACUGAAGAGCCCAUCAGGAAGGUCUCCAAAGCAGUGGCCCCUGGACCCAAAGGGAAACAGACCUGCAGUCAGUGCAGGCUCCACUCCUACCCCGUCAAAACUUACAAGACUUCUGUAGGCUGCCCCUACCCCAUCUCAGUGCCCUCUGCUCGUAUCUCUGUCUUGUCCCUUUAUACUGUUUACAUUCCUCCAUCCAUCCUGCCAAGCCAGCUCCCUCUUAGGGCCUUGGUGGUCUCUACCCACAGCCCAGAGUGCUCUGCAUCCAAAUUUCUACACUCUGGCUUCUUACCAUUCAGACUUCAGCUCCAAUCAUCACUUCCUGAUGACC
This is a long non-coding RNA of Bos taurus (domestic cattle), 1283 nucleotides long. The record is from Ensembl. Lineage: Eukaryota; Metazoa; Chordata; Mammalia; Artiodactyla; Bovidae.